This 23-nucleotide small nuclear RNA is filed under the name Arabidopsis thaliana (thale cress). RNAcentral's name for it is "snRNA_18819". Lineage: Eukaryota; Viridiplantae; Streptophyta; Magnoliopsida; Brassicales; Brassicaceae. The record is from RNAcentral.
AUAUAUAAAAGAGGUGAGUUCAU